This 446-nucleotide ribosomal RNA is filed under the name uncultured bacterium. RNAcentral's name for it is "partial 16S ribosomal RNA". It matches the Rfam family "Bacterial small subunit ribosomal RNA", at positions 338 to 795 of the family's 1533-position model. The record is from RNAcentral.
CCUACGGGAGGCAGCAGUCGAGAAUCAUUCACAAUGGGGGAAACCCUGAUGGUGCGACGCCGCGUGGGGGAAUGAAGGUCUUCGGAUUGUAAACCCCUGUCAUGUGGGAGCAAAUUAAAAAGAUAGUACCACAAGAGGAAGAGACGGCUAACUCUGUGCCAGCAGCCGCGGUCAUACAGAGGUCUCAAGCGUUGUUCGGAAUCACUGGGCGUAAAGCGUGCGUAGGCUGUUUCGUAAGUCGUGUGUGAAAGGCGCGGGCUCAACCCGCGGACGGCACAUGAUACUGCGAGACUAGAGUAAUGGAGGGGGAACCGGAAUUCUCGGUGUAGCAGUGAAAUGCGUAGAUAUCGAGAGGAACACUCGUGGCGAAGGCGGGUUCCUGGACAUUAACUGACGCUGAGGCACGAAGGCCAGGGGAGCGAAAGGGAUUAGAUACCCGAGUAGUC